GAUGAACGCUGGCGGCGUGCCUAAUACAUGCCAGUAGAACGCUGAAGGAGGAGCUUGCUCUUCUGGAUGAGUUGCGAACGGGUGAGUAACGCGUAGGUAACCUGCCUGGUAGCGGGGGAUAACUAUUGGAAACGAUAGCUAAUACCGCAUGACAACAGUUAUUGCAUGAUAACUGUUUAAAAGGGGCAACUGCUCCACUACCAGAUGGACCUGCGUUGUAUUAGCUAGUUGGUGAGGUAACGGCUCACCAAGGCGACGAUACAUAGCCGACCUGAGAGGGGUGUCGGCCACACUGGGACUGGGACACGGCCCAGACUCCUACGGGGGGCAGCAGUAGGGGAUCUUCGGCAAUGGACGGAAGUCUGACCGAGCAACGCCGCGUGGGUGAAGAAGGGUUUCGGGUCGUAAAGCUCUGUUGUAAGGGAAGAACGAGUGUGAGAGUGGAAAGUUCACACUGUGACGGUAUCUUAACAGAAAGGGACGGCUAACUACGUG
RNAcentral lists this ribosomal RNA (495 nucleotides) under uncultured bacterium. RNAcentral describes it as "partial 16S ribosomal RNA". It matches the Rfam family "Bacterial small subunit ribosomal RNA", at positions 28 to 507 of the family's 1533-position model. The record is from RNAcentral.